CCUACGGGAGGCAGCAGUGGGGAAUAUUGGACAAUGGGGGGAACCCUGAUCCAGCCAUGCCGCGUGUGUGAAGAAGGCCCUCAGGUUGUAAAGCACUUUCAGUGAGGAAGAACGCCUGGUGGUUAAUACCCAUCAGGAAGACAUCACUCACAGAAGAAGCACCGGCUAACUCCGUGCCAGCAGCCGCGGUAAUACGGAGGGAGCGAGCGUUAAUCGGAAUUACUGGGCGUAAAGCGCGCGUAGGUGGCUUGAUAAGCCGGUUGUGAAAGCCCCGGGCUCAACCUGGGAACGGCAUCCGGAACUGUCAAGCUAGAGUGCAGGAGAGGAAGGUAGAAUUCCCGGUGUAGCGGUGAAAUGCGUAGAGAUCGGGAGGAAUACCAGUGGCGAAGGCGGCCUUCUGGACUGACACUGACACUGAGGUGCGAAAGCGUGGGUAGCAAACAGGAUUAGAUACCCCUGUAGUC
Molecule: ribosomal RNA, 464 nt
Filed under: Vreelandella stevensii
Lineage: Bacteria; Pseudomonadati; Pseudomonadota; Gammaproteobacteria; Oceanospirillales; Halomonadaceae
Description: partial 16S ribosomal RNA
Rfam family: Bacterial small subunit ribosomal RNA
Source: RNAcentral